GACGAACGCUGGCGGCGUGCUUAACACAUGCAAGUCGAACGCUUAAGUCCUGGCUUGUGUUGGGUUGGGUGAGUGGCGAACGGGUGAGUAACACGUGAGUAACCUGCCCUCUUCUUUGGGAUAACGCCCGGAAACGGGUGCUAAUACUGGAUAUUCACUGACCCCCGCUUGGGGGUUGGGGGAAAGGAUUGUUCUGGUGGGGGAUGGGCUCGCGGCCUAUCAGCUUGAUGGUGGGGUGAUGGCCUACAAAGGCUUUGGCGGGUAGCCGGCCUGAGCGGGUGCCCCGUCACGUUGGGGCUGAGACGCGCCCCAGGCUCCUGCGGGGGACAGGAGUGGGAAAUAUUGCACGAUGGGCGAAAGCCUGAGGCAGCGGCGCCGCGUGAGGGGUGGGCGCCUUCGGGUUAUAACCCUCUUUCUCGCAUGGACGGGCCGGAAUAGGGGGUUGUGGUGACGGUAGUGAAUAAAAAAGCGCCGGCUAACUACGUG
This 486-nucleotide ribosomal RNA is filed under the name uncultured bacterium. RNAcentral's name for it is "partial 16S ribosomal RNA". It matches the Rfam family "Bacterial small subunit ribosomal RNA", at positions 28 to 507 of the family's 1533-position model. The record is from RNAcentral.